Vicia villosa (hairy vetch) is the source of this 3732-nucleotide long non-coding RNA. RefSeq lists it as uncharacterized. NCBI's taxonomy places the organism in Eukaryota, Viridiplantae, Streptophyta, Magnoliopsida, Fabales, Fabaceae. The record is from RefSeq and is a predicted model, not a curated record. The transcript has 2 exons.
UCAUACAUUUAUCAUUCUUUACUGGCAUUUAUAGAUCUAGAAAAUUUCAGUUUAGAUGUAGUUGUUGUUUAUCUUUAUUUGAUCUUGCCUUACUACACCUUUAGCUUGUUUUUGUAUAUAUUCCAUGAAAAUCAAAGCUAGUCAUAGAGGCGUAAAUUGAAUUUCCGGCGGUUUUCACGUGGUGCUUUAACCUCUCAAUGUUCAUGCCUCUAAAAUAAUUCGCCACAUCUCUUAUGUAUUAUACAAAUAUGGCUAUGAUUACAUAUUAUCCGCGCUUCUGAGUUUUCUGUAUGAAGUAUAUCGGAAUAAUUGGUUGAAUUUCUUGAUAUGAGCCAUCUUAUAAUUUGUAUUCCCGUUUAUUUUUUGUUAUUCUUUUAGUGAUAUUUGGCUGUGAUGAUAAUUUAUUCAGCUUUAAGCCAGUUCUGCUUCUGAAAAAUCGUGAUUGAUAGAGCUGUAAUAUAUAUUCUGAGCCUUUUCAAUUUGUUCUUUUAUUGUGUUUGCAUCAACUGUUAUUGUGAUUUAGUAUUGAGUUUUUCAAGAACUGUACUCUUUUUUUCUUCUGUGAAUUGGAUCAAGAGUCUGAAUAAACUCAAAUAUUUUUUGUUGUCUAUCAGCUUCAUCUUUUGUAUCCCACGAGUUUGGAGUUAAAUAUCAGCACCACAUUUGUUUUGAAUAUGUAUUCAAACUUUCUAAGUUUUAAUUGUUUUGCAAAUUACUUGUAAUCAAUUACUAUGUAUUAUGUUUAAUAGUGAAUUACUUUUAUAUGUUAAUGAACGUUUAGAGUAACGUAAGAAUAAGAGUGAGAGUGGUGGUUGUGAUGAUUAUAAAAAUUCCUCGUACUGAAUGUCUAUUGGCAUGACAGACACUUUACACCCAUAGAAUAUGAGCAACCACUUCGUUCUGCUAUCAAUUUUAUUUAACUAUUAAAAUUUUCAUAUAUUGCAUUUUGUUAUUUCAUUUUAAUCAUUGUGUUAUGUUAGUGUCAUUGCGUUUACAAAUGUUCCUUAAAAUGGGUAAUUUGAGUAUAAUGGAGUAAUAAGCAUACUCCCUCCGUCUCAUAAUAAGUGUCCCAUUUGCAUUUUUUCCUUGUCUCAAAUUAAUUGUCCAUUUACAAUUUCAAUGCAUCAAUCAUUAUUAUUUUUCCACUAUUAUACCCCUAUUUAUUAACUUUCACGUUAUUCAACUACUAUUAAUAGGGGUAUUCUAGUAAAUGAUAUUAACCUUUUUACUAAAACCAACACAUCCAAUCAUUUUCUUAAAAACCGCGCAUUGCUCAAAUAGGACAUUUAUUAUGAGACGGAGGGAGUACUUUGCAGAGCAUAAUUUAUAUCAUGAUUGCUUUUGCUAAGCUAACUCCUUAUAUUGAUUGCGUGGUGUUUAAAGCCCCUUUCCAAAAUUAAUUGAAUUGGGGUUACGCACACCUUCAAAUUUGUUCUGUGUGUUUAUAUCCUAUAUUUAAAUGUAUAUCAAAGCUCCAGCACUUGAACACGACAUGACAUCAUAAAAUACAGAUGCUAGAGCUGUCCGCCUGCAUUUUUGCUUGAUUAUUAACCUGGCUACACUCUCCAAUCAUCUUCACCAUGGUGAUUCCAAACUAGAAUUGAAAUGAAACUCUAAAUUUCAAAGCCGACUCGCACUAACCAGAAGCCGACUCGCACUAACCAGAUCAUCUGCAGCACUUUGUUUUUCAUUUUUUACACUUUGUUUUUCAUUUUUUACACUCCCUCUAAAGCUGCAGCAUUUUCUUUUUCACUUUUUAUACUCCACAUCAUCUUCUCUCUUUUAUUUAAUAAUUCAACACUUAUUUAACUCAUUACCCUACUUUAUCACUUUUAUUUUAUAUUUUUACUUUUAUAUUUUGUUUUUUGUGAUUAUAUAAUAAAAUAAUAAAAUAUAAUAAAGUAAGAUGAGUAUUUUGGCAAGUUUGCCAAGUGUCCAAUUUUUAAAUGCCUUGCUAUUUUAAAAUAUCCUAUUAAUAGUAAACUAUAUUUGUCUGUAAUUAUUUUUAAAUAUUUUAAUUUAUUAAUUCUUAACAACUCAAUAAUUAAUAAUUCCUUAGCAAUUAAUGAUUUUUGAUACACUUUUAUACUUUCAAAUAUUUGUAUUCAAUAUUCAAUAUUUUUGAUACAAUUCUACGCUUUCCAAUAUCUGUAUUUAAUAUUCAAUAUUUUUUUCUCAUAAAUAAAUAACCCAACAAAUAAUGACUGAAAACCCUUCAUAUAAGAUUCCAAACGCAUCGCGUUCCAAUAAACCAAUUCGGCGCCGCUUCAACUAUAAUGUCUGGAAAUCUACCCUUUGAAUUCAAUUCUCUCUUCUUCCAAUCCAUAUUGUGUUGCAAAUCUCUUCUCUUUUCCCAAUCUAUUUUCUCUUUUCCCGUUCCUAUUCAUCUCAUCAUUAAUUUCUUCUCCCAAUUCAUAUUUUACAAUGGAAUCUUGACUCCAAUUUUCUAGGUAUUCUAUAUCAAAUUAUAUUGCUUUAACAUAUAUAAAUAGGAACAAUUUCAUCGAUUUUCAAUCACACUCCUUCUGAUAAGGAGGGAUUGCUUUUUCGAUUCUUCCAAAAGGUAUAAGGAAAGGAAAUAUGAUCAAAAACAAUUGAUUGGAUCUGAUGGAAUGUUGUCUUCACAUUCAGCUAUAUGUUCUUGCUACGACGGUUGGAUUUUAUGAAGGAUUUGUUGGACUGCUUUUUGCUACUGCUUUGGUUCUAGCUAUCAUGAUAUGAUUUUUUUGUUCUAAUCAUAAAAUUCGUAAGCAUUUUGCAUAUUUUGUUUUUCGAUGUGUUUGAUUUAAUACUUGAACUAUUUCUACAAUGGAAUUUGGCAGGCAAGUUCGUUUAUGCUCAUGAUUCCUCAAUAAAUAUAUGGGAGUUAAUCUAUAAAUGGUUAAUGAGUUUGAUUUCUUAUGCAGGAUUCCAAACCAAUUUUUUUGAAAAUGGGGAGCAAUUAUUUGAGUAUGAAAAACAUAUCUUAUGCUGAUUGAAAUAUGAUACAAUAUAACUUUACUUUGUUUAAAAAAUUGGAUCAUAUAAUAUUUCAAGCAAAUGGUGGUUUCAUCUUGAAGUUGAAAUAAUUGACAAUCUGUUCUUGCAAAUGUCAAUUAGCAAAAGCCUUAUUCACCUGGUUUACCUCUCAGCUUGGCUUUCAUGUUAUCAUCACACUAACUUAGAAGUAGUUGAAGGAAUAUAAAUUAACCCUUAGUUUUCUGUAGAUGAUUCUAUAUUCUGGUAAGAGUUUGGUAAUCAAUUAGUUAUUCAAGUUGGCUUAGUAGUUUGUGCUUGAGCCUUUACACCUAUAAAGCCUAUAUAAUUUUUUUUUACGUAGGAACUUAAUGGAGCUACACAGAGCCAACACAAAAUGGAAACUCAUUAGCCUCUACAAAACCAAAUGGAUGGCAACAAAGCUUGUGUUGAUCCUGAUUGUUUUUUAGAGUCUUAAAAUAUUGUAGAGUCCAAGUUCUAGAUUUAUAGUACAAAACAUAUUUUCCUUGUGUAUUUAUAAGGAUCAAUUUGAUAGAAUUAGUGUUGUUCAUGUUAGGAUGUUUUAAACUUUUGUUGUUGAUAGCUUGGUAGAUUAACAUGUCAACUUAAUUCUUGCAGAGAGAAACUAAGAUAACUAGAGCAAGGGGAUGCACAUGAUUAUGUAAUGGAUGGUCCAUGAGAAGCAUAUCACUCACAGAAAGAUAAAAAUGUUUAUUUUAUUACCACACUGAUACAAGUAUUCUUAUUUCUCUAAAA